CGCGUAGGUGGUAGUGUAAGUCUGGGGUGGAAUCCCAGGGCUCAACCCUGGAACUGCCUUGGAGACUGCAUUACUUGAGUCAGUGAGGGGAGGGUAGAAUUCCUGGUGUAGCGGUGAAAUGCGUAGAUAUCAGGAGGAAGGCCUGUGGCGAAGGCGGCCCUCUGGCGCUGGACUGACACUGAGGCGCGAAAGCGUGGGGAGCAAACAGGAUUAGAUACCCUGGUAGUCCACGCCCUAAACGGUGGGCACUAGGUGUAGGGCUCGUAAGGGUUCUGUGCCGAAGGGAACCAUUAAGUGCCCCGCCUGGGGAGUACGGCCGCAAGGUUGAA
RNAcentral lists this ribosomal RNA (329 nucleotides) under uncultured bacterium. RNAcentral's name for it is "bacterial SSU rRNA". It matches the Rfam family "Bacterial small subunit ribosomal RNA", at positions 568 to 898 of the family's 1533-position model. The record is from RNAcentral.